Molecule: ribosomal RNA, 137 nt
Filed under: uncultured bacterium
Lineage: Bacteria
Description: partial 16S ribosomal RNA
Rfam family: Bacterial small subunit ribosomal RNA
Source: RNAcentral
UGGGGAAUAUUGCACAAUGGGGGAAACCCUGAUGCAGCGACGCCGCGUGAGUGAAGAAGUUAUUCGUAAUGUAAAGCUCUAUCAGCAGGGAAGAAAGUGACGGUACCUGAGUAAGAAGCACCGGCUAAAUACGUGCC